UACGUAGGGGGCAAGCGUUGUCCGGAUUUAUUGGGCGUAAAGAGCGUGUAGGCGGCCAGAUAGGUCCGUUGUGAAAACUCGAGGCUCAACCUCGAGACGCCGAUGGAAACCAUCUGGCUAGAGUCCGGAAGAGGAGAGUGGAAUUCCCGGUGUAGCGGUGAAAUGCGCAGAUAUCGGGAAGAACACCCGUGGCUAAGGCGGCUCUCUAGUACGGUACUGACGCUGAGACGCGAAAGCGUGGGGAGCGAACAGG
Molecule: ribosomal RNA, 253 nt
Filed under: uncultured bacterium
Lineage: Bacteria
Description: partial 16S ribosomal RNA
Rfam family: Bacterial small subunit ribosomal RNA
Source: RNAcentral